UGAGGUGUGGGUACUGACGAGUGGUGUGUGGGUAUUAACAUGUGUGUGUGUGUGUGUGUGUGUGUAGGUGUGAAUACUGAACUGUUGGUUGUGGUGCGGGAGAGGAUGCGGGUAGUACAGUGGGUGCGGAUGGUAGCAGUACUAUGUGUAGCGUCGAUGGUGUUGGUCUCUUGUUGUUGGCGUCUCCUUACUCACAACUACUCCCAACAACUCUACCACAACCACAACCUGACCGAGAUAGACUACAACCAUCAGGAUUAUUAUAACAGUGACCAUGUAGACGACAAACGCACUCACACACAACAUAACGUCAGGGGACAAGGUGACAGGGAUACCAUUAGUGACUCUACCUCGACGUAUUAUCAGAGGAAGUUUGUUUACAUCAACAGACAAGACGGGAGUAAGAAGGUACACGUAUAUAAUCAACACAGCCAGAUACAUGAUAAAGACACCUAUUCAUAUGACAAAAACAGCGAGGUAUAUAACACAAAAGAACAAAAACAUGACAAAAACAACCAGAUUUAUGUCACAAAAAGACUUAUUCAUGACCAAAACAGCUUCACUAUUGACACAAGCCACCAGGUAGAUGACACUUAUGACCAGACAGAUACAGAGUUUGUGCAGGGAGAUGCUGGUGACGAGGACGAUAGCGAGGAGGAGGAACAAGGGGAGAAGUCACCUCGAGUCAUCCUGCUGUUGGGUAGUUGGCGCAGUGGGUCGACCUUCUUGGGGGAACUCCUGGCCACGGCCGUCCAGGACACCUUCUACAGCUACGAGCCUCUACACCCGUGGAAGAUAAAGGUGUUGUAUGAUGAUGACAACACCACGCAGGCCGCCGUCACCUUCCUCAAGGAUCUGUUCCACUGCCGCCUUGAACAACAUGAGCAGCAGGUCUCCUACAUGGCCAGCCAGCACUGGUACCUGCGCUCGAACACUCGCCUCGCCUCCCACUGUCACUACCAGCAGGGGGACAAGCCAGAACAGCAGCAGCAGCAGGGGGACAAACCAAAGCAGGAGGAACAUCAGCAGAAGCAACAGGGAGAACAUCAAGAGAGGCAGCAGCAAGAAGAGACCUCCUCUUCCUCCUCUUGCUUCAAUGCCUCCUUCGUCAGCCAAUUGUGUCGCAGCUCCCGCCUCCACGUAGCCAAGGUGUUGAGACUCGGCCUGCAGUGGGUGGUGCCGUUACUUGAGGAGAAGCUGGACCUACAAGUGGUUUACCUGGUGCGUGACCCCCGAGCUGUCCUCAGUUCCCGGGAGCGAGUGUCGUGGUGCAGCUCCCCGACCUGCAGGGAUCCAGCCUAUAUGUGUCCUCACCUCUACCACGACCUUCUCCUACUACCCCAACUCCGCCACCUGUACCCUGACAGAUUCAAGAUGGUGCUGUACGAGUCACUCCUUAAGGACAUCAAUGCUUCACUGAGGGAACUGUACUCCUUUCUGCGUCUCCCUCUGCCUGAGAAGCGACUGCUCUUGCUGACAGCCUCCAGCCAGGGGUCCCCCCUCAAGAGGUUAGACCAGGUGUCCAGUCACGCCCGGGGGACCUACGGCACCACCAGGAUGCUCGACAGCCAGGCAUAUUUGUGGCGCUUCUGGACUCCCUACAAGAAGAUGGUGACGUACCAGACCCACUGCAGCAGAGUGAUCAGGUUCCUGCGGCUCAGGCUGUUUACCUCCUCCACCCAGUACCACAGCAUUUCCCGCUACCCCGUCCUCCUCCCACGCCCACCCCAACACGCCCUCACUUCCUGAAGACGUCCAUGUCUCCUGAUGCCAUGUCCACCUCCACGUCUCAGCAUUACAUCACACGUGACUACUCCACUCAUCAACCCACGUGUGACCAUGUCCACAUCUCCACUGCCUAAAGCCGCCCACAACUCGCCCACCCUUACAUGACUACGCCUGCACCUAGCUCCCCGCCAUUGCCUUAGUACGCUCAUUCCACAGAGAUAGCCACGCCCACAUCACAUAUUCAGGUGCCAGAUGAUGUGAUAGCGUGUGACUGUUGUGUUGAGGGUCACAAGUUUCUUAUGAUGUCAUCGCUGUGAUCAGUAUAGGAGCGGUGCUGUGCCUCUGUGAACUGUACAAGUAACUCAGGGUAUAGUGAUCAAGGCUUAGACUACACAUUAGGAUUGUUGCUCACGAUAAUAUACGGAUCUCAUGAAGAUUAGAAACCUCAACUUAUUUCACCAGAUGACUAAACACCCACAUAAUAACCUAACCUAACCUGACCCCACCGCACCCCAUCCCCUUUAGCGUUAGGGUGUUUAUCAAUCAUCAGGAGAUAAUAAACGGAGGUUCCAAAUCGUCAUGUGAUCCUUUGAGUAAGUUGUUUUUAAUAAUAUAAAUCUUAUACAGUAGAAAUGACUAAGGUCGACUGGUUCAUUUCUCCCCUUGAUUUUUGCUCCAGUUUUGCUGUUAUUGCCUCUGCCUGUAUAAGACUGUCCGGAUCAAAGUACCUCCAUCCAUUUAUUAAGCUGACUCGCCACAUGGGUGACUACUGACUAGUGAACCACUUAUACACUUUUUGCCACCUAUUAACUGAACUGUGAAGAUGUAGGAGCGUAUACUGUCCACCCUGUGUAAGGUCAUCUCCCUGACCUGAUAUAUUGAUGUAGACUUUACAAUAAUGCACAUGGGUUGAAAUGAUUCCCCGCUUCCUGUACUGCCAUAAUUAUGUGGAUCAUAACAUUAUUUAUAUCUUCUACAGUUCCUGCUUAAUUAUCUCUUCCUUAUUAUACUCAUGUUAUAAAUGAACGAAAUACGAAAUGAAGUUUUACAUUUAAUAACUUUAACUAUGUAAACAACUGGAUUGACUUCUUAGUAAAACGGAUGAAAAUGCAA
This 2841-nucleotide unclassified non-coding RNA is filed under the name Homarus americanus (American lobster). Its description in RNAcentral is "carbohydrate sulfotransferase 5-like, transcript variant X1". Lineage: Eukaryota; Metazoa; Arthropoda; Malacostraca; Decapoda; Nephropidae. The record is from RNAcentral.